This 957-nucleotide ribosomal RNA is filed under the name uncultured bacterium. Its description in RNAcentral is "bacterial SSU rRNA". It matches the Rfam family "Bacterial small subunit ribosomal RNA", at positions 545 to 1514 of the family's 1533-position model. The record is from RNAcentral.
CCGGAUUUUAUUGGGUUUAAAGGGUGCGCAGGCGCGCGUUAAGCCAGCGGUGAAAUCUCCCGGCUCAACCGGGGAACUGCCAUUGAUACUGGCGUGCUAGAGUACGGACGGCGCCGGCGGAAUGUGUCAUGUAGCGGUGAAAUGCUUAGAUAUGCCACAGAACACCGAUCGCGAAGGCAGCUGGCGAGGCCGGUACUGACGCUCAGGCACGAAAGCGUGGGGAUCAAACAGGAUUAGAUACCCUGGUAGUCCACGCAGUAAACGAUGAUAACUUGUUGUCGGCGAUAGAAUGUCGGUGACAAAGCGAAAGCGAUAAGUUAUCCACCUGGGGAGUACGAUCGCAAGGUUGAAACUCAAAGGAAUUGACGGGGGCCCGCACAAGCGGAGGAGCAUGUGGUUUAAUUCGAUGAUACGCGAGGAACCUUACCUGGACUCAAAUGUUGAGCGACCGGACCAGAAAUGGUUCUUCCCUUCGGGGCGCUCAGCAAGGUGCUGCAUGGUUGUCGUCAGCUCGUGCCGUGAGGUGUCAGGUUAAGUCCUAUAACGAGCGCAACCCCUACGUCCAGUUGCCAGCGGGUGAUGCCGGGGACUCUGGAGGAACUGCCCACGCAAGUGGAGAGGAAGGUGGGGAUGACGUCAAAUCAGCACGGCCCUUACGUCCAGGGCGACACACGUGCUACAAUGGCCGGUACAGAGGGCAGCCACCUGGUGACAGGGAGCGAAUCUCGAAAGCCGGUCUCAGUUCGGAUCGGAGUCUGCAACUCGACUCCGUGAAGUUGGAUUCGCUAGUAAUCGCGCAUCAGCCAUGGCGCGGUGAAUACGUUCCCGGGCCUUGUACACACCGCCCGUCAAGCCAUGAAAGUCUGGGGUACCUGAAGUCCGUGACCGAGAGGAGCGGCCUAGGGUAAAACAGGUGAUUGGGGCUAAGUCGUAACAAGGUAACCCGGGCGGCCGCUC